GGUAGCCAAGAAUAAUUUCUCAUUUUCAUUUCAUUUUCUAGCCAUACGAACUAACCAAAAUUUUGUAAAUUCCAUUUCUCUUCAGCACCUUUAGGUUAGAUAUGACGCCAAUUUUGUUUUGGCAUGCAAAAGGCUUCCACUACAAUUUGCAUAUUGCCCACUAAUGUCAAAUCUAUAGUAGCAUUCUUUGAGAAAAAGCCACGUUAUUAUUGAUAGUCAUUGUGGGAACAUUCAAUCCAUGUCAACGUUGCAUCAACUUAACUUUGUUUUCUAUAAUUUUAGUGCAGGAAUCAACUUUACAUGAUGCACCAUGAACACCGCAUUUAUAUUUGCUGAGUCAAUGAUCAAUGCUUCAACAAAACGACCAGUCAACCACACCAAGGAACCUUUCAUUGAGCAUGCAUUGGUUGACAAUGGUCAAUACGUGUGCUGCACUCACAAACAAAAGAUUAGCUAUUAUGAUAAGAUUAGACUACCAAAUAAAAACAACUUGGGAAUCUCUCCAAAUGGGGAAAUCAUUGAAGACAACUGGUCACUAAAGGAAGAAGAGUUUCGUAAGUUUUAAAAUUUAAACAUGUCCACAUUUCCUCUGACCUGAUAAGGCUAAGCAGGGGCUUCACUCUUUCUGUGCCAAUUUGUUUUUUUUUUGAAGUAUAUGUAUACUCUAAGGUCUUUUUAAAACAGUCAAAUAAAAAAAUUUGACCAAGUGUUUAUAGUUUAAUGGUAAGGAACUCUCUUUAGGUGUGCACACACAUCUUCCUACUGAUAGAAACUCGACAUACGUCCAAUUAUGGUGCGCGAUGGCGCACAUAAAAUUAGGCCUCUAGUGGUGAGAGUAUUAUUUAAUAAUUUUGGAAACUUAGUUCGAAUCAAAAUAGCUACAUGAUUUUCUUUUUUUAAGAUAUUCGUGUAGAUUACCCAAAAAAAAGAUUAUAUUUUACAAACUACAUUAAAAAAAAAAAGGCCACAAUGAGCCCAAUAUUUAAAAUAAAUAAUUUAUUAUUUUUUCUAAAAUUUUAAAUAAAAGAAUAGAGUUUGAGUUUUUCAUACUUCAAAUAUGCUCAAGUAAACAGUAAAAAAGUUAAGCUACCCAAAUUAAAUAAUUUUUUUUAAAUUAAACCCCCCCUAAUUUACGUGUAUGUAUCUGCCACUACCUUUCAAUAUAUCAUAAACCAAACCCAAAAAGAAUAAGUUAUUGAUACACAUGAGUAAAGACUAUAGACAAAGAUUAGUUUAAUAACGAUAAGUGAUAAGACAUUGUUGGGAAAAUUAGCAGGUGUAAUAAACACACAAUUAAAGUAAAAUUGAGAAAUAAUGAUCACAUAAGGACAUUAAAAUUUACAUGGUUCGACUUUUAACCUAUAUCCACGGACAAAAACAGAAGGAAAUAUUUUACUAGUGAAAAGAAGUUACAAGUAUUGUAGUGUUUUGUCUCACAACUCAAAACCCCAAUACACUCAAACUCUAAAAAACACUAGAACUAGAGCUAAAAGCUCUCAACACUCUCAACUUACACCUCUUUACUCUCUCACUCGAAUUGAAGAAAAUGGGAUGGAUGAAGAGGGCAAUUAAAACCUCUAUUUAUAGGCCAAGUAAUGCCCAAAAAUCAAUAAUGGUGAGCAUUAAAAUAAUAUAUAUUUUUACUCAACUUUCUACUUUGGUCCCAAAGUCAAACAUUGUGUGUCUCCCACUUACUUAUAUCUCUCACUUAUUCAACAAAUUUAUGCUAAGAGUCAAACACUUAUUCAACAAAUUUAUGCCAAGAAUCAAAAGUUGCAUGCUAGCCACAUGCAUGCACAUGUUCAACAAACAUGCCAUGAUUGAGCUUAUUUGAAUAUUUGGGUUUUAAUAUAUAUAAAUAAAACAUGCAGUAACCCAAAACUCAAACGACACAUUUUUUUUUAGAAGUUUGAAAAUGCUUUUUUUUUAGUUAUCAUUUUUGGAAGUUCCUAAAAAUGUAUAAUUCAAUUAGUGUUUCCCCAUAAUUUAGGGGUUCAUUAUUAUUUUUAGGUUAGUAUUUUUUAAAAUAAACGAUGUCUUGUAUUUUCUAUAUUUUGAAUAAAAGUAUGUGCUUGGUAUUAUUUUCUAUCUAUUGUAUUUUAAAAUUGAAAACAGUAAUAUGUGUUCGGUACGGUAGACAUAAUUUAGAAGGACCAAAACAAUAGAUAUGUGUUUGGUAGUACUAUUUUUAAAAAUAGCUUUUACUAAAUAUUGUCAUACUUAUUGUUACAAAAUAGGGCACAUUUCGAUAUUCUUUUCAUUUGACAUUUUUAUUAUACAAAAAUGAGAAUGAAAAUAAUAUUUUAA
This 2307-nucleotide long non-coding RNA is filed under the name Citrus x clementina. RNAcentral's name for it is "Citrus clementina (C. clementina) long non-coding RNA (CCLE_LNC000872)". The record is from RNAcentral. Lineage: Eukaryota; Viridiplantae; Streptophyta; Magnoliopsida; Sapindales; Rutaceae.